Molecule: RNA transcript, 2448 nt
Organism: Nymphaea colorata (pocket water lily)
Lineage: Eukaryota; Viridiplantae; Streptophyta; Magnoliopsida; Nymphaeales; Nymphaeaceae
Gene name: pescadillo homolog
Exons: 5
Source: RefSeq, a predicted model, not a curated record
UUGCCUUUUUGUUUUCUCGUUUCGAAAAAAUUUUCCCCCAACAUUGAAACCUAAGUUCGUUGCUCCGCCUCCGCAGGACCGCAGCUCUGCUUCAGUCUUCAAGGUUUCAGGAGGCGAGGCGAUAUCUGCCUGCAGCAGAGAGGGCAAGCUUCCUGCCUGCGUGUAGUCCAGCACCAGAAGCUUCUCAUCUUUGGAAUAGUAGUAGGCCCAGAUUGGCGGCGAGGAAUGGGGGCAAGUUCGUGGAGGGAGCGCUGAGGGUUGAUAACCUUUCUGAAGGAAUUCUGGCAUGCGUAUUCAGAGACUAUCUCAAGCAUUCAGUGCAAGGAGGACCACGAAAUCUUUUUAGCCAAUCAAGGAUCUGGGGAGGCAAUCAAAGAUGUAGCAGCGGUAUCCUUGAAUGAUGAAACUUCAGUAUUGCAAAGACAGCGUGAAGCAGAAAAGAUUAUUGUUGAGGCUUACAGUGCUCUUCUUCUUGCCUUCCUCUUAAUUGAAAGAUACUUCUAGGAUUUUUCCACUUCCCUGUCAUUUCAUUGGGGUAGCCUGCCCACCAACUCCUGAAACUCAACUGGAAGCUAUAGGAGAAGAGCUUUAUGCAACAUUAAAGUGUGUCUCUACUGCAAGAAUGGCAACUGCUUUCUUGACAAUGCGUUGCAGAGCUUUAUGCAACAUUAAAGUGUGUCUCUACUGCGAGAAUGGCAACUGCUCCUAGCUGUGGACAUGGAUCCUUAUCAUAUCCCACAAAGGAAACCACGGAUGAGGGUUGGAGUAGAACAUUAUUCAAGAAUCUGAUGUUUUUCCUAAGUCAUGGCGUGGGUAAAUCCGUUUGAGUUUGAUAGCUUGUCAUCGUCAUAACUUUUUUGCUAAGAAAAUUUGUCUAGUACUUCAUGAUUUUUACAAAGUUGUAGGACGUGAAUAAUUUAGACUUGCCUUUGUCAAUGAAAUUUUGUGUCGCCAAAUUCUACUUCCAUGUUGCUAACUUAUUUACAUUUUAAAUUUCUAGGUACCUAAAGAUUCCUUGCUUUUCAUAAUUACCGCUUUUGGUGGUGUCGUUUCAUGGGAAGGUGAAGCAUCUCCUUUUAGCAAAGCUGAUGAAAGUAUCAUGCUUCAGAUAGCUGAAGAACAACCCCAGUCCAACAUGUUCCCUUCUAGAAGAUACGUUCGACUGACGUGGGUGUAUGACAGUAUAUUGCUUCAAAUUUCUCCUCUUUCUUCUUCUCACCAAACUACAACGUAAAUGAAAGAAUUUGAUAAGCACUUCUGGGUUUCACUUUUUUUUUAAAUAUAAAAGAAAAAGCUAGAUAUGCAUAGCCUAAGCACAAAUACAUGAAAAAGAAUCUAGUUUAACAAAGAACUAAUAAAAACAGUUCAUACUAAAAUUUUCUCAAAAUGCUUCAGCUCCUCCUCUUUUCAAAUGUCCAAUUUCAGGAAAGGUUGCUCCUCAGAACUCGGGGCUUUUUGGUCAGAAUUAUUGGCUUUCUUUGCCACCAUAUAGUCAGUGCAGCUGAUGCCUUUUAAUUCCAUCUUCAGUUCUUUGAGGUAUUGUUUCUCCAGCCUUGCAUUAUAAAAGAUGAGCGAAUUUUCAAUAAUUGGUUUAAGCAUUUACUUUCAGCCGUUUGUUUUGCAUCAAAUUUACUUGUCAAAUAUUCGAGGACAAAUGUAUAGUAAGGAACGUGACUGCAAAGCCUUCAAAAGGAGAAAAAUAAAGCGAAAGGAGGUAGAAUAACAAAACCAAGUGCAUGAUUGUGGAUUCCUUGUUUUUCAAUGGUUGUCUAUGAGAUUUGUUUUUCUUGGACUGUAAAUGCUUACACCAAUUAUUGAAAAUUCGCUCAUCCUUUUAGGGUGCAAGGCUUGAUAAACAAUAUCUCGAAGAAUUGAAGAUGAAAUUAAAAGACAUCAACUACACUAACUAUAUGGUGACAAAGAAAGUCAAUAGUUCUAACCAAAAAACCUAGAGUUUUGAGGAGCAACCUUUCUUGGAAUUGGACAUUUGGGAAGAGAAGGAGCUGAAGCAUUUUGAGGAAAUUUUAAUAUGAACCGUUUUGAUUAGUUCUUUGUUAAACUAGUUUUUUUAUGUAUUUGUGCUUAGGUCAUGCAUAUCUAGCUUUUUCUUUUAUAUUUUAAAAAAGUGAAACCUAUGGGUGUUUAUCAAAUUCUUUCAUUUAAGUUGUAGUUUGGUGAGGAGAGGAAAGAUGAGAAAGCUGCUCUUGAUGAAGAGGAGAGAAAGUUCAAAGAAAUUGGCAAAGGAGAAGGCUCUUCUUGAAAAAUAGUGUUAGUCUCUUCUAAAAUAUCCUUCAUUUUCCAUUUUGAAUGCAAAGGAGAAGGCUUUCUGCAAAGCCAAAGUACUCAAAUUGUCAGGGGAUUCAAGUUUUAGAGAAGAUGGCUCUUUAAAGACAGGUUAAUGUUCAGUGGAUUCAAGUUUUAUGAAGGUGGCUCUUUAAAGGCGGGUUA